AAUCAUUUAGCCAUUGAUUUCGUUGACUCUUCCGUUGAGUUGCAAUGGAUGUUGAUGACAGACUCGGACAUGGCUGCAACCGCUCAACAGCUGAUGAAGAUAACAAUAGUAUCAGCAGCAGCAAUGGCAAUAAGAAGGACAAGAAAAUCAAAGCGAAGAUGAUGAAAGACGGGAGAUUCUUCAAACAAAAUCAAUAUGAGAUAACUAGAGCAAAGAUUGAAGAAUGGUUCCAUCUUCAUUAGUUCAACAAAAUCAAUAUGGUUAAAUGAUUUGCUCUCUUCCUUCGAUCUUCUUGUUAGUUGUUUUUCUGUUUGGUAUGGUUA
RNAcentral lists this long non-coding RNA (323 nucleotides) under Gossypium raimondii (Peruvian cotton). Its description in RNAcentral is "long non-coding RNA (GRAI_LNC000749)". The record is from RNAcentral. Lineage: Eukaryota; Viridiplantae; Streptophyta; Magnoliopsida; Malvales; Malvaceae.